CCCUUAGAUGUUCUGGACCGCACGCGCGCUACAAUGACAUGAACAGCGAGAUUCUGUAUGUAAAAGCAUAUGGGCCAUCUGUAAAUACAUGUCCCGUCUAGGGCUUGGCAAUUGCAAUUUUUUGGCACUAACGAGGAAUUCCUAGUAAGCACGGGUCAUGACCCCGUGCUGAUUGCGUCCCUGCCCUUUGUACACACCGCCCGUCGCUCCUACCGAUUGAAUGAUCCGGUCAAUUUAAUGGAACAUUAGUGGAUUUUCCGCAAAUGUGAAAUUACGUGAGCCUUAUCAUUUAGAGGAAGGAGAAGUCGUAACA
Molecule: ribosomal RNA, 313 nt
Filed under: uncultured eukaryote
Lineage: Eukaryota
Description: partial 18S ribosomal RNA
Rfam family: Eukaryotic small subunit ribosomal RNA
Source: RNAcentral